ACGGAAGGCAGCAGUAGGGAAUUUUCGGCAAUGGGCGAAAGCCUGACCGAGCAACGCCGCGUGAACGAAGAAAUACUUCGGUAUGUAAAGUUCUUUUAUAAGGGACGAAAAAACAAAUUGACUGUACCUUAUGAAUAAGCUCCGGCUAACUACGUGCCAGCAGCCGCGGUAAUACGUAGGGAGCGAGCGUUAUCCGGAUUUAUUGGGCGUAAAGGGUGCGUAGACGGCACAUUAAGUUUCUUGUUAAAAUGCUAGGCUCAACCUAGUAAUGCAAGGGAUACUGAUGAGCUAGAGUAUGGAAGAGGCAAGUGGAACUCCAUGUGUAGCGGUAAAAUGCGUAAAUAUAUGGAAGAACACCAGUGGCGAAAGCGGCUCACUAGGCCAAAACUGACGCUGAGGCACGAAAGCGUGGGGAGCAAACAGGAUUAGAUACCCUGGUA
This 440-nucleotide ribosomal RNA is filed under the name uncultured Anaeroplasma sp. RNAcentral's name for it is "partial 16S ribosomal RNA". It matches the Rfam family "Bacterial small subunit ribosomal RNA", at positions 341 to 792 of the family's 1533-position model. The record is from RNAcentral. Lineage: Bacteria; Bacillati; Mycoplasmatota; Mollicutes; Anaeroplasmatales; Anaeroplasmataceae.